UACGGGGGGUGCGAGCGUUGUCCGGAUUCACUGGGCGUAAAGGGCGCGUAGGCGGCCCCGUCAGUCAGUCUUUUAAGAGCGGGGCUCACCCCCGUGGGGGGAUCGGGACGGCGGGGCUGGGGCGCGGCAGAGGGAUGCGGAAUGCCGGGUGUAGUGGUGAAAUGCGUAGAUAUCCGGCGGAACACCGGUGGUGGAAGCGGCAUCCUGGGCCGAGGCCGACGCUGAGGCGCGAGAGCGUGGGGAGCGAACAGG
This 252-nucleotide ribosomal RNA is filed under the name uncultured bacterium. RNAcentral's name for it is "partial 16S ribosomal RNA". It matches the Rfam family "Bacterial small subunit ribosomal RNA", at positions 524 to 776 of the family's 1533-position model. The record is from RNAcentral.